AAAAAAAAAAUCCCGAACGCGAAGCAGCCUUCGUCUAUUGCGGCUCUUUUUUGAUUUUUGUUUCCCUUGCAGUUUGCGCCUCGUUCCCGUGCACUUUAACUCACGCUGUGCCUUUUCUUUGAGAACUUGUUCACAGGUUCUUUCCCCCCAUCGCCACGUCUAAGCCAUAUCUUUUUUCAUCUCUCAAUUUGAUUUUAUGCAACAAAGUUUAAGACAAAGGGAUAUGUCCAGAUUUUGGCAGCACUGAGAGGAGACAGAGCUGCAGCCAAGGAUCCUGCUGGGAUCCAAAAAAGCAAGGCAGAAUGAAGCACCAAAAAAAAAAAAAAAGAAAACACCACCCUUUCCUUUGCCUGGUCACAAAUUCCACUUUCUCUGUAGCCAGCCCUGCGAUGCGACUCCUCCUCAUCCACAUCUUACCGCAUUCAACCUUUUGCCAUUUCUCUCUUGCCGUACCUUUUUUUUUUCAGGCGAUUUGAGGUUUUUGUACCCCGGAAAAUGGGGACUGGACAGCGGGUUAGGAGGGCGGAACAGGGAGAGAACGAGGGGAUGUUAACUUUUUACUUUUUGCUUGUAAUUCAGCGUUUUCACUGUUACUGAUAUAGAGGGACUGUUGUGGUGCUUGUAGGUUUGAGUCUUUUUACAUUUUGCAGGGUUACGCUUGGAUUACCGUUUUUGUUAAGUGUGCGGUUUUUAGCAACGUGUGUGCAUGGAUAUUUUAUGUGUUAGCAUCAGACUUUCUGUUCUGUUCAGUCAGUUUGUGAUGAUUGCUUUUUUGUCUUUCUGUAGGUUUCCUAAUUUCUGCUGGAGCGCUGGCCUGUACUGCCCCUCAAGCCUGCCUCCAUCUGAUUCCAGAGGAGGUCUGACCAUCAGGUCCAACAUGUGCCCUAAUGAUUUAUCCCCUCUCUCACAGACCGCGGCCGCAUCCUCGCCUGCAGAAGACUGCGGCAGCCUCCUCCUCCUCCGCCGCCGCGGCCGCCGGCCGGGUGAGUUUUCCUCUUUCCUCCUCUCCCCCCUGCGCAUCGCAUAUCAUCACCCCCGCUCCCCCUCCCCUUCAUCCGAGCUCCCAUUCUGUCUGCCUGACGAAUUAGACGUCCCUCCACAAAGUCGGAGCUAAAUGAUUGACAGGUGCCAUCUCAGAGGAUGGAGCAUGUGUGGGGAGCAGGGAUCUCUCCCAGGGCCCGUGUAAGUGCUGGGGAGCUGUGGCUUUGCAGCGGCGGGGGGGGGGGGGGGGGUUGCUGGAGGUGAGCCCGUGGCAGCCCAUUUACAGCCCGUGCUGCUGUCCUUGUCAUCUGACUCUCGACUGCGCAUGUGCACAGUGCAGGAUUCUGGCAUUUUAGGUGCAAAGAAAUAAAAAAAUCAACAACGCUUGACCGUCCAUCGACGGAGCAUGGCUCGUGCAUGCGGGGCUGCUGCAGUGACAAAUAGGCCAAAAUAUGCUGGGCCGGUCUUAUGAACAUGUGAUAAUGAAGCGCUGUCUGUUUGGGCGUGUGUGGCCGCGCUGUGGCGACUAUAAUACGCGUGUGCUGGCUGUUUUUUUUUUUUUCUUCAUUAAUCUUUAUGCGCGAUGCGCUGCGGAUUUACUGCGUUUAUCUGUAUUUUGCAGAUUGCUACUGUGUGAUGCUUACUCUGUUGUAGUACAAAGACCGGUGGCUGAUAUAUGCACAUAUAGCAGAGCGGCGCCGUCCUCGGCUUAGCGAGACCAGGCGGGACUGAGAUUUAAAAGCCAGGGAUGGAGGAGAGUGCCAUUGUCUGCGCCGGUCUGAGUCCCGGCGCUGAAGCAGCAGCACGCGCACCUCCGACGUGAUGGCGACCGGUGCCUCUCUCACUCCCUGAGACCCUAACUUGUGACGUUUUGCUGUGAUGUGCACGGGUUGGGUUCUCGGGAGCUGUGAGGGGCGCUCACGCAUCUCUGCAGCCUGAAAGGGGAGCGAGGAGCGGGCAGCGCGUCGAGAGCCGGCGGAUGGACCGCUGGCUCGCCUCUUUCCUUUUUUUUUUUUUUUUUUUUUUUUUGUUGUCUAGGCACAGUGACAGGGAACGCUCGUUUGAUCCACCCACCGGGGGGGAAAGCGAGAGCGAGGGGAGCGGAGAGGAGGGACGUCAGUGUUUCUUUCAGGACGUGAAGGGGUUCAGAGCCACAGGAAGGCACAGUGUGGGGGGUGCUGGGCAGGACGGGGGAGGGGGGGGGCACGUGACCGGGACGGAGGGAUGUCCAGACUGUGAUGGCAGAACACUGUCACAUUCACAGCAUCCAUCGCACAGGUACAAUGAGCCAAUGAGGAAUCUGAGUAUACGCUCACACCCACAGUGCAACAGGACCUCACUCAGCCAGUCACAUGUUAAACAUAUGGACCACUAUAACUGUAAAUGCGCUAAUUAACACACAACACAUCACAGAUUAUAGGCUAAAAAGUGCAAAUCACACAUUUGGUUCGGUUUAUUACAUCUCUUUUCUCAUGAAGGGCCAGAAAAAGCCUCAUCACGGCUCCUCUCGUUUCCACUACUUGAGCCGUCCACAGGCUCUUCACGCCUCAUCUUGAGAGCAGCACAAAGUACUGUCGAGAGCGUGACAUUGAAAGCUCAGUACACUUGUGUUUGACCUCAUGAAAAAACCCAUCCCUCGUCACCUGACGCACCUCCACGGCUGCCGGGCCACGAAACCGGACGCGAGCGGGACCGGAGCGAGGUGUAAAACUGUUAACUGAGGGCGGAGCGGGCGAGAGCGCGCGCGUGUCCCAGCGCGGCGCCGUCUUCGGGUCCCGAUGACCGGCGGCUCGUGCCAAGGAAGCGGCGCGCCGGUUGCCAAGUGUUUCCCUAAAACUACGGCAAAGCGCGCCGAAAUGUGUGCAAACGUCUGUUCCUGGAACCGCUCGGUGAUCUGUGAUCACAGUAACAGCUUCUUCUCGAGCCCCCCCCCCCCACGCCUCCACACCUCCGCCCGCCGCCUCCGGCCGCGUUCGAUGCCUCGGUGCCGGUCCGGUCGGACCGUCACGUGGGCGAAGGACAGGUAGCUGUGAACGCCGGCUUUGAGGGCGUUUUGAGCCGUAUCAGAGGAGCGGAUGAAGGAGCUGCUGCCGUUUGCGCUCCAAUCCCCACAUGCACAAGGACUUUAGAGAUUCAUUAAAUAGGCAUUUUCAGCGUGCGGUCAAAUGCUCUUAGUGAGCGGCGGCGCGUUCACGUCGACGCGCACUUUUCAUCCUGUCGGAGCUUUGCUUCUCAGCCUGGUUUCAGUUUACGGUGAAGAUACAGUGCAGCUACACUGGAGGCCCCACGGAGACUCUCAGCCAGGAAAUAAAAAGGGAUAUGAUGUCAUUCAAACUCAUCCGAUGCACUUUAAUCACAUGAUUACUAUGUAUUGUAGAGUUCAGAUGGAUUUUGGUUGCAUGCAUAUUGCAGUGUAUGAGCUGUAGGGACUUCAUGGCUACGUUAUUGUACAGCAUCUUUGAGUCUCUUUGUGGAUUUUGAACUUAAGAACGUUAAUGUAAAAAAGCCGUUCAUUGUCAGUGGACACGUUUUCAGGGAUUCUGGGUUUUCUUAAGCUUUUGGUGGUGAACUUGCGAACGCAGCCGUGCAGACCAGCUGCAGCAGUAGGUCAUGGUGUCAGUGCCGGACUGGUUCAGCAGAAACUCGCAGAGACGGCGCUUCUCUAUGAAAAGAAGGAGGAACACGCUGGUUAUUUUUAGCGAGGCCGAUAUAAUUUUGGUUUAGAUUUUGACAUGUCAUCUCCUGCUCUGACACAAACGACGCGACGAACGAGUGCGAAAGCGGCCGGGGAGCGUGUGUGUGUGUGUGUGUGUGUGUGUGUGUGUGUGUGUGUGCGUGUGCGUGUGUGUGCGCGCUUGCACGUGCACGUCCAGCUUUAUUAAGACGUCCCACCACAGCCUUGCCCCCUGGCCUGCUCGGGCUCUUCUACUUGUAAAAUGGCUGACCAUAGAGACAGCUACAGAUCAGUCAGUGUCACUCACUGGCUGCCUGGUGCUACAGGACGCUGCAGUGCCCACAGGGGUGGAAAUGAUUCAAAAGAAGCCUAAACCUCCCCUUUAGACACGAGGGGGGGAUCAGUCCCUGCAUUCAAACAGUGACCUGUGAACGACUCCUCUGUGCAUCGUGAAUGUACAGGACAGUGCGCGGCAGCCUCGCGGCGUCUCUCGUCCGUCGCCGCCGCAUCACUCAGGACCCCACAGAGGCCUGAGGCGCCCUCUGAUCACGGGAUGAGAGUCCGGACAUUUGAGUGCAGCUCAGCCCCUUGUGACAGUAGCUGCCGUUUGCUCCGGCUGCAGAAGCAGGUGUGUCUACCUCCGGUGCCCCCCUCCACCGCCACCUCCCCCUCCACCCCUACCUGUUCCCUUAUCACUGCAGUACGGCAGCCAUUCCAUUGUGCCUGCCCCCCCCCCCCCCCCCCCCCCCCACCUACAGCAUCGCUGCUCCAGCCCAUCAAAGACACUGGCACCCGCUCUCUGUACCACUUGGCCCCCGGUCGCUCCGAGCGGGUUUACGCUUGCAGGCGCGUCUCCUCCGCAGCCUGGACUCGUCUCGCGGCGCCCUCCGCCGCAGACCGCCGCCAUCUUGUUACUGCUCGCGCUGACGGCGCGUCCGCCUUUGCUGCGCUCAAACCAAACUCAUCUAAGCCAGCUCCGAGCCGUUGCCAGUGCGGCUGUGUGUCGCUCCGUGCCGGGCGCGCCUCAGCGUAGCUCCAUCACCGCGCUUCCCUGGACUACCGCAAGGGGUUUAUCGCUGCACGUGCAGGGGCACCUGGGACUUUAAGACGCGCUUUAUACCUGAUCAGCCGCUGAGAGGUGGUUGCCACCAUGCACACAUGCCUACAGUACUGCAUGUUUGUUCAACACAUCUUUCACAUAAUGUUAUGUUACAGUUGUUUGAGCAGCUAUCUUCAUUUCCAGGUUAUUUAUUUUUUUUUUGCAUGUGGUACCAAAAUGGCGCCACACAUCUGGACUGUGUAACUUCACGUCACAGGCUAAACGUGCGUGCGUGCGUCUUUGCAGUGACAAAGAGCAGGCUGUUAACCCAAAGGGUGCAGAUUUGGAGCUAAUGGGAAUGAUAUCGCGCCGCAUGUGCUCUGGUGAAAUACAAGUAGAGUUGAGUGGGUGGAGUUCAGGUCUCAGAUCCUCUCAGACACUCUGCCAAGAACAAACUAUACUAAUAAAACCAUAAAGAGGAGGGGAAAACAGCAAACUGUCCCUUGAUAAUACAUCUGUAUGUGGAAGCCAGAGGUUUGCGGUGAUUCUACAUGUACAGGUGAGAUCCGCCUCACGUCAGAGUGAAAUGCUCUCCGCUUUCCUUUGACCUUCCUCAUCGCACGUCUGUGGAGGACGCCCUCUGUCCCAGCAGCCAUGAGGCAACCAGCUGCUCAGCCACACCUCAUCGUGAUCAUACUGCCGCUGAAGGUGAGGUGAUCAUAUUUAACGGUAUUUCGCCCAAUGUUGCCCAUUUCAGCUCUAACUGAUUGGUCAAUCUUGAAUGAGUGCAGUCUGCGCUGCUCAAUAUGCACUUUAAUGUUAUUGUCUAAUUUAUGAUCAACUGUAAAGCAAAAUGUUAAUGAAGUGAACAGUCAAAUAGAUUCUGAAAUGUAUCUUAUUCCUUCAUUAUGAUGCAUUUUCUCUCUUCUGUUUUUUAAAUGUCUGUCGUAUUAAAGCCAUGCAGUGGACACCUUUUUGACUCUUACCGGUGAAUUUUCUCCAGGAAGUGGACAUGGCAUAAAUAUGAUAACAGUGUUCAUGGUUCUUGGACUGUGUGGUGUUUUCACUUUGACCAUUCGUCAACACCUUUGGCUGGUUGAGGUGGUUCUGCUGCAUGUCAUAAAAAUGCAUUUUCAUAAAUAUUUCCACAUCUUCUACUUCUCCACAUUACAAGUCCUGUUUAAAUUUACUCCCCUAUCAUUUAUUAAACAGCUCUAGUUAUGAGUCUCUGCCACAGUGCAGCGGUAUUCAUUGGACUCUGAGGCAGCACUGUGCUGCUGUGACACUACUGAAAAUGUAUUUAUUUUAAUAAAUGCUUUAUUUUACUGUAUAUUGCAAUGUGCACUGUAAAAUUCAUGGGACAGUUUUAUUUUGAUAUUUAUUAUGUGAUGGGACUCUGUUAUAAUUCUCAUUUCCAUGUAUUGUAUAAAGCAACAUUUGAUGGUAAUAAAAGGCAUCAGCCAAAAUAUUUUACCAAA
This is a long non-coding RNA of Betta splendens (Siamese fighting fish), 6172 nucleotides long. RefSeq lists it as uncharacterized. The record is from RefSeq and is a predicted model, not a curated record. The transcript has 2 exons. NCBI's taxonomy places the organism in Eukaryota, Metazoa, Chordata, Actinopteri, Anabantiformes, Osphronemidae.